GGUUCGAUGGUGUAGUUGGUUAUCACAUCUGUCUAACACACAGAAGGUCUCCGGUUCAAACCUGGGUUGAGCCA
This is a non-coding RNA of Russula vinacea, 74 nucleotides long. Lineage: Eukaryota; Fungi; Basidiomycota; Agaricomycetes; Russulales; Russulaceae. The record is from the annotation of a GenBank genome assembly.